RNAcentral lists this ribosomal RNA (475 nucleotides) under uncultured bacterium. Its description in RNAcentral is "bacterial SSU rRNA". It matches the Rfam family "Bacterial small subunit ribosomal RNA", at positions 443 to 921 of the family's 1533-position model. The record is from RNAcentral.
GCAUUAAGGUUAAUAACCUUGGUGAUUGACGUUACUCGCAGAAGAAGCACCGGCUAACUCCGUGCCAGCAGCCGCGGUAAUACGGAGGGUGCAAGCGUUAUCCGGAUUCACUGGGUUUAAAGGGUGCGUAGGCGGACAUGUAAGUCUGUGGUGAAAUCUCCGAGCUUAACUCGGAAACUGCCGUGGAUACUAUAUGUCUUGAAUGUUGUGGAGGUUAGCGGAAUAUGUCAUGUAGCGGUGAAAUGCUUAGAUAUGACAUAGAACACCGAUUGCGAAGGCAGCUGGCUACACAACUAUUGACGCUGAGGCACGAAAGCGUGGGGAUCAAACAGGAUUAGAUACCCUGGUAGUCCACGCCCUAAACGAUGAUUACUCGACAUUUGCGAUAUACAGUAAGUGUCUGAGCGAAAGCAUUAAGUAAUCCACCUGGGAAGUACGACCGCAAGGUUGAAACUCAAAUGAAUUGAAUUGACGG